Long non-coding RNA from Anguilla rostrata (American eel), 422 nucleotides. RefSeq lists it as uncharacterized. The transcript is spliced from 2 exons. The record is from RefSeq and is a predicted model, not a curated record. Lineage: Eukaryota; Metazoa; Chordata; Actinopteri; Anguilliformes; Anguillidae.
AGAAUCCUUGUAGCUCCGAAAUGAAAAUGACCCGGGUUCUGUUGUGCCUAGUUCUUCUCUGGGGAGCAUCUCUCAGUGAAGGUUGCAAUCCUGAGCUCCAGGAGGACGUUUUAUCCAAAGCGCUUUACAAUUGAUGCCUCUCAUUCACCCAUUCACACACACACUCACACACCAACGGUGAAAGGGUGCUAUGCAAGGUACCAAUUAGCUCGUUGGGAGCAAUUAGGGGUUAGGUGUCUUGCUCAGGGACACUUUGACACACCCAGGGCGAAGGAUCGAACCAGCAACCCUCCGACUGCCAGACAAUCGCUCUUACCUCCUGAGCUAUGUGGGCCUAGCCACAUACACACACGUACAUACAAACACACACACAUCCACACACAUAUACACAGACACACUUGCUCUAUAUUCAUUGGAGUAUC